Pelobates cultripes (western spadefoot toad) is the source of this 269-nucleotide non-coding RNA. The record is from the annotation of a GenBank genome assembly. Lineage: Eukaryota; Metazoa; Chordata; Amphibia; Anura; Pelobatidae.
GGUACGAGGAGGAAUCUCCGGAAUGAUUUACUGGUUGCUGCAGAUUCAAUUACCAAUACCAUGUCUUCCUUGGUUAAAGAGCUGCAUUCAGGUGGGUGACAAGAGUGUAUUACCCAUGUAUUUUCAAAUAUAUUACAUAUUUUUCAUAUAGGCAUUUCACCACCUUAAGUUUUCCGCCAUCUUGUUCCAACGCCCGUUACAAACUGGACAUCCGGUGGUGGAUCUGUCAGUAUGGACAGACAUUUCCCAGGAUUCCUUCCCAGUUUCCC